AUUGAACGCUGGCAGCAGGCCUAACACAUGCAAGUCGAACGGUAACAGGAAACAGCUUGCUGUUUCGCUGACGAGUGGCGGACGGGUGAGUAAUGUCUGGGAAACUGCCUGAUGGAGGGGGAUAACUACUGGAAACGGUAGCUAAUACCGCAUAACGUCGCAAGACCAAAGAGGGGGACCUUCGGGCCUCUUGCCAUCAGAUGUGCCCAGAUGGGAUUAGCUAGUAGGUGGGGUAACGGCUCACCUAGGCGACGAUCCCUAGCUGGUCUGAGAGGAUGACCAGCCACACUGGAACUGAGACACGGUCCAGACUCCUACGGGAGGCAGCAGUGGGGAAUAUUGCACAGUGGGCGCAAGCCUGAUGCAGCCAUGCCGCGUGUAUGAAGAAGGCCUUCGGGUUGUAAAGUACUUUCAGCGGGGAGGAAGGGAGUAAAGUUAAUACCUUUGCUCAUUGACGUUACCCGCAGAAGAAGCACCGGCUAACUCCGUG
Molecule: ribosomal RNA, 490 nt
Filed under: uncultured bacterium
Lineage: Bacteria
Description: partial 16S ribosomal RNA
Rfam family: Bacterial small subunit ribosomal RNA
Source: RNAcentral